GACGAACGCUGGCGGCGCGCUUAACACAUGCAAGUCGAGCGAUGAAACUUUAACAGAACCCUUCGGGGCGAAGAUAAAGUGGAUUAGCGGCGGACGGGUGAGUAACACGUGAGUAACCUUCCUUAGACAUUGGUAUAGCCUCUGGAAACCGGGAUUAAUACCAAAUAAAAUCAUAAUGACACAUGUCAUAACGAUCAAAACUCCGUUGUUCUAAGAUGGACUCGCGUCCCAUUAGCUAGUUGGUAGAGUAAAAGCCUACCAAGGCGACGAUGGGUAGCCGGCAAGAGAGGGUGAACGGACACAUUGGAACUGAGAAACGGACCAAAAUACUACGGGAGGCAGGAGUGGGGAAUAUUGAAAAAUGGAGGGAACGAAGAUGCAGCGACGACGCGAGAAAGAAGAAGGCUUUAGAGAAGUAAAGUUCUUUUAAAUGGGAAGAUAAUGACGGUACCAUAAGAAAAAGCCCCGGCUAACUACGUG
This 480-nucleotide ribosomal RNA is filed under the name uncultured bacterium. RNAcentral's name for it is "partial 16S ribosomal RNA". It matches the Rfam family "Bacterial small subunit ribosomal RNA", at positions 28 to 507 of the family's 1533-position model. The record is from RNAcentral.